AAAUGUGCACAGAUUGUUAAGGUUUGUUAAUGGCCAGUUCAAGCCUCUUCUUCAAAGCCUUGAUGCAAUCUAGGGUUUUCUGCCUUCUGUUUCCCCCUUUUAAACAAGGAAUAUCACGUCACUUUGUACCUAUGCUUAAUACCUACAGAUUGUAUUCUAAACAACUGUAUUCUAUCUGUAGCAAAUUGGGAACUAUUUAAAAUUUAUUGGUUUACCUUCAUAUGUGGCUAAUUGAUAAGCCUCAACUAUGUAAAGUAUAAAGCCUUAUA
This 269-nucleotide unclassified non-coding RNA is filed under the name Hevea brasiliensis (rubber tree). Lineage: Eukaryota; Viridiplantae; Streptophyta; Magnoliopsida; Malpighiales; Euphorbiaceae. The record is from RNAcentral.